GCGAGCGUAGUCUAGUGGUUAUGAUGUCUGCUUUACAUUCAAGUAAUGAUGAUGUAGAGCGCAGAAGGUCGGGAGUUCGAUCCUCCCCGCUCGUA
Molecule: non-coding RNA, 95 nt
Organism: Pseudovirgaria hyperparasitica
Lineage: Eukaryota; Fungi; Ascomycota; Dothideomycetes; Acrospermales; Acrospermaceae
Source: the annotation of a RefSeq genome assembly